GACGAACGCUGGCGGCGUGCUUAACACAUGCAAGUCGAGCGGUAAGGCCCUUUCGGGGGUACGACGAGCGGCGAACGGGUGAGUAACACGUGGGUGACCUGCCCUCAGCUCUGGGAUAAGCCUGGGAAACCGGGUCUAAUACUGGAUAUGACUCCAUGACGCAUGUUGUGGGGUGGAAAGCCUCGUGCGGCUGAGGAUGGGCCCGCGGCCUAUCAGCUUGUUGGUGGGGUGANGGCCUACCAAGGCGACGACGGGUAGCCGGCCUGAGAGGGCGACCGGCCACACUGGGACUGAGACACGGCCCAGACUCCUACGGGAGGCAGCAGUGGGGAAUCUUGCGCAAUGGGCGAAAGCCUGACGCAGCGACGCCGCGUGAGGGAUGACGGCCU
This 389-nucleotide ribosomal RNA is filed under the name uncultured bacterium. RNAcentral describes it as "bacterial SSU rRNA". It matches the Rfam family "Bacterial small subunit ribosomal RNA", at positions 28 to 417 of the family's 1533-position model. The record is from RNAcentral.